Long non-coding RNA from Mustela lutreola (European mink), 2336 nucleotides. RefSeq lists it as uncharacterized. The transcript is spliced from 4 exons. The record is from RefSeq and is a predicted model, not a curated record. Lineage: Eukaryota; Metazoa; Chordata; Mammalia; Carnivora; Mustelidae.
CAGGAUUCAGUGCAGCCCUGCAGCCGGGCUCUCAGCCUCUAAUCUGCGCACCUCCUGAUGGCGGGCAGCCCCGAGAACGACUCUCGAUGACAACAGCUGACAGCCGUGUUGCCAUGACAAAUGCGAGUUGUGUGCCGUUCAAACGCGUUUCUAACAAUCAAGGGAAAUGGCAGAAUCCUUCUGAGAAGUUGAUGUAGAGAUAACUGGAGGUUCGUGGCGGGGGCAGGAAAGGGUCGUUUCUGGCAUCCCAGGGAGGUCACGUUGAUACAAAACGCAGCCUCAAAGUCCACACAAGUGUGGGACGUGGAAGUGGGUUUGCAAGGAGACGUCAGGGUCAGGGGAGAACCUACGACGCGGUCGGUCAAGGAGUCUCCACCAGGGAGAACCGUGCUCUCCCCUCUAGUGUGAACCGAGACCCACGAAGCCACAGCAAGUCCCUCCCAGCCGCACAGAUUUUAUCUGAAUCCCUGGGCUGGGCAGCUUUGCUUCUGCCUUCAGGGCUGGCUCUCAGUAAAGGCUCCUUGACGGGAAGCAACACCAUAAUCUCAGAGUGUACCAGGCCCUUUGAGGAAGGGGGUCAAAUCCCAAAUACCUUUCAGUCUCAAGACAUUUAAUAAGAGGCCAACAAAGUAUAUUGCAGAGCAAGACCUGCCGCACUGGGAAGGCAAACACUGCAACAAGCUAGAAGCCGCUUCCAGAAGGCGAGAGAUGACUGCCCAGCCCUGUGGCUGAUGGUUGUGAUGUGCUCUAACAACAACGACAAGGAUUAUUAAAGGGUCAAUUUUAAAGUCGUCCAAUUGAUUAACAUUUCUCGACGGGUAUAUAAACAACCCAGAGGCCCCAACUUUCCCCACCACCACUUCUCAGCCCAGCCCCUCCUCUCUCACUUGGAAGCUCUGCCUGUAGGAGAAAGAGCAGAAUCUUAAGAAAGGAGUUGACAAAAACUGAAAGACAUCCUGUGGCGAAAGUCUGGUGAACCUUGUACAAGGGGAAUGAUGCUAUCUCAGGUUCAUAGAUUCAGCAAGCAAGCCCUGUUCCCGUCCUCAAGGAUUUUGCAAUGGCGGAAGGAGAAAGAUAAGGUCCAGUGUAACACUGUGAACAAGGGGCCGUCGAGCAAAGAAUGUGUAGAAAGGAGGGUUGUGAGUUACUGUCCACUGAGCAUCUCCUCUCUGUCCAGCACUAAGCUGGAUGCCAUGGGAUGGAGUCUGAAGUCUACUGGGAGGAGUUCCUGAAACUUUAUGUGAGAGCUCUCCAAUCCUGGGUGACCACCAUCUUGGAUGGGGACUCCCAACAGGAAGGAAAGCCCACCUGGCCAUGGGAUUCCCUGGUCAAGGCCAAGACUCCGUCUGACAACAACAUAGAAACCAGGUCGUAGAGAACAUGAUUGCAACCAACAGCUCCAGUGAGAUGUUCUUUUCAUGUGUUUGCACACGUUGAACAUCAUCCCAAGAAAUUACUCUUCUCCAAGACAAAGAAACUUGGAACUUAAUCAGUAGAAUGAGCCUGGAUCUUCAACUUCAAACUGUUGAAUUUUCUUAUUCAUGCUUCCUUCUCACAGUUGGCUGAUCUCUCCUGCCCCAAGCUUUCAAAGGGAUGUUGGAGGCACUUAAAUUUUUCUUCACCAUAAAAGGAAGUCCUUCCUCCCUCCGGGACCUUGCGAUCCGUGGAUAAGGAACCAGCACAAACAGCAGGUCAGCCGCCCAUGGCCAAGUCUGCACUGGGCUGAGAAUGGUAUUUCUUUCUAGACCAAUGAACGUUGCUCGAACACACUGGCCCCAGAUUAAAACACACAAUUCCUCACCACUUCCCCAGGAGUGAUUUCUGAUCUCAAUGCCUCAAAAUCUGCUUUCUAGAAGGACUUUGCCCAAACCUGAGAAAGACAAACACCUUCACCACACCCCAGCCUGGCUGUCCUCAAAGGAGGCUUGGAAACACUGUGAAAGGCAUGCGUGGGAGUGCUUUGCGCUGGGAUCCCGCACACACUCUCCUGCGCUCACGGGCCUGUAUGUCACAGCCAAGUGCUUCCCAGCAAAGUACACAAGGGCUUUGUCUCAUUCUGCAAUGGUCGGCACUGGCCAUGGGGCUAUGGGGGCCACCGCUGUGUUUGUCCCGCUCAAAGAGAACAGCCUGAUGGGGGUGGGGUAGCUUGCUGCCACAAAGAGCCGGCCAGCCCCACCUUGCUUCAGGUGGAAAACACAACUCUCCACAUCCUGGCUGGGCUUUCCGGUCCAGAAUUUCACUAGGAAGGAAGGCAGGGAGGGACAAGAAGGCGGGGGAACAAAAGAAGGCGCUUUCUUUGUAUGACUCUCUUAAUAAAACAAAGCCUGGUCAGGGCA